Molecule: non-coding RNA, 27 nt
Filed under: Rattus norvegicus (Norway rat)
Lineage: Eukaryota; Metazoa; Chordata; Mammalia; Rodentia; Muridae
Source: RNAcentral
UAGUAUUUCUUGAUUACGUGGACCUGA